This 746-nucleotide ribosomal RNA is filed under the name uncultured bacterium. RNAcentral describes it as "bacterial SSU rRNA". It matches the Rfam family "Bacterial small subunit ribosomal RNA", at positions 60 to 806 of the family's 1533-position model. The record is from RNAcentral.
AGUCGAGCGAAGCGCUUGAAUCUGAUUCUUCGGAUGAUGAUUCUUGUGACUGAGCGGCGGACGGGUGAGUAACGCGUGGGCAACCUGCCUUAUACAGGGGGAUAACAGUUAGAAAUGACUGCUAAUACCGCAUAAGACCGCAGUACCGCAUGGUACAGCGGUAAAAACUCCGGUGGUGUAAGAUGGGCCCGCGUCUGAUUAGGUAGUUGGCGGGGUAACGGCCCACCAAGCCGACGAUCAGUAGCCGACCUGAGAGGGUGACCGGCCACAUUGGGACUGAGACACGGCCCAGACUCCUACGGGAGGCAGCAGUGGGGAAUAUUGCACAAUGGGGGAAACCCUGAUGCAGCGACGCCGCGUGAGCGAUGAAGUAUUUCGGUAUGUAAAGCUCUAUCAGCAGGGAAGAAAAUGACGGUACCUGACUAAGAAGCCCCGGCUAACUACGUGCCAGCAGCCGCGGUAAUACGUAGGGGGCAAGCGUUAUCCGGAUUUACUGGGUGUAAAGGGAGCGUAGACGGCUGUGCAAGCCAGAUGUGAAAGCCCGGGGCUCAACCCCGGGACUGCAUUUGGAACUGUGUGGCUGGAGUGUCGGAGAGGCAGGCGGAAUUCCUAGUGUAGCGGUGAAAUGCGUAGAUAUUAAAAGGAACACCAGUGGCGAAGGCGGCCUGCUGGACGAUGACUGACGUUGAGGCUCGAAAGCGUGGGGAGCCUAAAAGAUUAGAUACCCUGGUAGUCCACGCCGUAAA